This 449-nucleotide ribosomal RNA is filed under the name uncultured bacterium. RNAcentral's name for it is "partial 16S ribosomal RNA". It matches the Rfam family "Bacterial small subunit ribosomal RNA", at positions 29 to 523 of the family's 1533-position model. The record is from RNAcentral.
AGCGAACGCUGGCGGCAGGCUUAACACAUGCAAGUCGAACGGGCACUUCGGUGUCAGUGGCAGACGGGUGAGUAACACGUGGGAACGUACCUUUUGGUUCGGAACAACACAGGGAAACUUGUGCUAAUACCGGAUAAGCCCUUACGGGGAAAGAUUUGUCGCCGAAAGAUCGGCCCGCGUCUGAUUAGCUAGUUGGUGAGGUAAUGGCUCACCAAGGCGACGAUCAGUAGCUGGUCUGAGAGGAUGAUCAGCCACAUUGGGACUGAGACACGGCCCAAACUCCUACGGGAGGCAGCAGUGGGGAAUAUUGGACAAUGGGCGCAAGCCUGAUCCAGCCAUGCCGCGUGAGUGAUGAAGGCCCUAGGGUUGUAAAGCUCUUUUGUGCGGGAAGAUAAUGACGGUACCGCAAGAAUAAGCCCCGGCUAACUUCGUGCCAGCCGCCGCUGUAA